CAGUCGCCGCGGUAAUACGUAGGUGGCAAGCGUUGUCUGGAAUUAUUGGGCGUAAAGGGCUCGCAGGCGGUUUCUUAAGUCUGAUGUGAAAGCCCCCGGCUCAACCGGGGAGGGUCAUUGGAAACUGGGAAACUUGAGUGCAAAAGAGGAGAGUGGAAUUCCACGUGUAGCGGUGAAAUGCGUAGAGAUGUGGAGGAACACCAGUGGCGAAGGCGACUCUCUGGUCUGUAACUGACGCUGAGGAGCGAAAGCGUGGGGAGCAAACAGGAUUAGAUACCCCUGUAGUCCCUGUCUCUUAUAA
This 301-nucleotide ribosomal RNA is filed under the name uncultured bacterium. Its description in RNAcentral is "partial 16S ribosomal RNA". It matches the Rfam family "Bacterial small subunit ribosomal RNA", at positions 509 to 809 of the family's 1533-position model. The record is from RNAcentral.